This 763-nucleotide ribosomal RNA is filed under the name uncultured Streptococcus sp. RNAcentral's name for it is "bacterial SSU rRNA". It matches the Rfam family "Bacterial small subunit ribosomal RNA", at positions 28 to 776 of the family's 1533-position model. The record is from RNAcentral. Lineage: Bacteria; Bacillati; Bacillota; Bacilli; Lactobacillales; Streptococcaceae.
GACGAACGCUGGCGGCGUGCCUAAUACAUGCAAGUAGAACGCUGAAGGAGGAGCUUGCUUCUCUGGAUGAGUUGCGAACGGGUGAGUAACGCGUAGGUAACCUGCCUGGUAGCGGGGGAUAACUAUUGGAAACGAUGGCUAAUACCGCACAAGAGUAGAUGUCGCAUGACAUUUGCUUAAAAGGUGCAAUUGCAUCACUACCAGAUGGACCUGCGUUGUAUUAGCUAGUUGGUGAGGUAACGGCUCACCAAGGCAACGAUACAUAGCCGACCUGAGAGGGUGAUCGGCCACACUGGGACUGAGACACGGCCCAGACUCCUACGGGAGGCAGCAGUAGGGAAUCUUCGGCAAUGGACGGAAGUCUGACCGAGCAACGCCGCGUGAGUGAAGAAGGUUUUCGGAUCGUAAAGCUCUGUUGUAAGAGAAGAACGAGUGUGAGAGUGGAAAGUUCACACUGUGACGGUAUCUUACCAGAAAGGGACGGCUAACUACGUGCCAGCAGCCGCGGUAAUACGUAGGUCCCGAGCGUUGUCCGGAUUUAUUGGGCGUAAAGCGAGCGCAGGCGGUUAGAUAAGUCUGAAGUUAAAGGCUGUGGCUUAACCAUAGUACGCUUUGGAAACUGUUUAACUUGAGUGCAAGAGGGGAGAGUGGAAUUCCAUGUGUAGCGGUGAAAUGCGUAGAUAUAUGGAGGAACACCGGUGGCGAAAGCGGCUCUCUGGCUUGUAACUGACGCUGAGGCUCGAAAGCGUGGGGAGCAAACAGG